Molecule: long non-coding RNA, 444 nt
Filed under: Mytilus galloprovincialis (Mediterranean mussel)
Lineage: Eukaryota; Metazoa; Mollusca; Bivalvia; Mytilida; Mytilidae
Source: RNAcentral
CUGUGCUGAUUACCAGCGUAUAGUAAGUUAAUGUAUGGACAGUUACCCAAGUAUAAACAAAAUACUUCCGAGACCCAUUCUUUGUACUUAAAACAGUUUUGUAGAAACAUUAUGGUGAAUAGAAGUUCUUGCAAGCAUUAAUGUUGGUCAGCUAUAGUCUAUAGUAAACCCAACUCAAUCACUCCCCGAACAUCACGAUAUAUGUCGAGUUACUUUCAUUUUCAUGGGGGAAUCACUGUUUAACUGUUACAAGAUAUUUCAUUUUACAUACUUCAAUUUUUGUUACAUUUUGAUGAGAUGCAUUCAAUACUCUUCCACCAAAUUGACCAUUAUUCCGACGAAGCGGAAUAUAUUCCGACAUCUUGAUAAUAUUUUUCCUGGUGUACGGAAGAUAACUCCCAUAGUAACAAACGUCGAUUUUCCCGUUUUCCGCUAGAGGCAUUC